GGUGGUGAUGGUUGGUGGAAGAGCAGACACCAACGAGUUCAGCAACUGUGGCGGUGGCAUUGAGCAGCAAAAAAAAAGAGAGGCAGCGGUUGUUCGAUACCGUGCGUGGCGUAUUCGGCGGCAAUAGCAGCCGAGUUGGUUGGCAAUCACUCGCCUGAGUGUGGGCUUCCUUUUGGGGGCAGCGGCAACGCAAUGGUGGCCGGAGGAAG
RNAcentral lists this long non-coding RNA (209 nucleotides) under Ricinus communis (castor bean). Its description in RNAcentral is "long non-coding RNA (RCOM_LNC000700)". Lineage: Eukaryota; Viridiplantae; Streptophyta; Magnoliopsida; Malpighiales; Euphorbiaceae. The record is from RNAcentral.